RNAcentral lists this ribosomal RNA (253 nucleotides) under uncultured bacterium. Its description in RNAcentral is "partial 16S ribosomal RNA". It matches the Rfam family "Bacterial small subunit ribosomal RNA", at positions 524 to 776 of the family's 1533-position model. The record is from RNAcentral.
UACGUAGGGUGCAAGCGUUGUCCGGAAUUAUUGGGCGUAAAGAGCUCGUAGGCGGUUUGUCGCGUCUGCCGUGAAAGUCCGGGGCUCAACUCCGGAUCUGCGGUGGGUACGGGCAGACUAGAGUGAUGUAGGGGAGACUGGAAUUCCUGGUGUAGCGGUGAAAUGCGCAGAUAUCAGGAGGAACACCGAUGGCGAAGGCAGGUCUCUGGGCAUUAACUGACGCUGAGGAGCGAAAGCGUGGGGAUCAAACAGG